RNAcentral lists this non-coding RNA (27 nucleotides) under Homo sapiens (human). The record is from RNAcentral. Lineage: Eukaryota; Metazoa; Chordata; Mammalia; Primates; Hominidae.
UCCUAUGUUCAGAUGUAUAAUGGCCCC